AUAUUGCACAAUGGGGGAAACCCUGAUGCAGCCAUGCCGCGUGUGUGAAGAAGGCCUUCGGGUUGUAAAGCACUUUCAGUAGGGAGGAAAGGUAAUAGCUUAAUACGCUGUUGCUGUGACGUUACCUACAGAAGAAGGACCGGCUAACUCCGUGCCAGCAGCCGCGGUAAUACGGAGGGUCCGAGCGUUAAUCGGAAUUACUGGGCGUAAAGCGUGCGCAGGCGGUUUGUUAAGCGAGAUGUGAAAGCCCCGGGCUCAACCUGGGAAUUGCAUUUCGAACUGGCGAACUAGAGUCUUGUAGAGGGGGGUAGAAUUCCAGGUGUAGCGGUGAAAUGCGUAGAGAUCUGGAGGAAUACCGGUGGCGAAGGCGGCCCCCUGGACAAAGACUGACGCUCAGGCACGAAAGCGUGGGGAGCAAACAGGAUUAGAUACCCUGGUAGUCCACGCCGUAAACGAUGUCUACUCGGAGUUUGGUGUCUUGAACACUGGGCUCUCAAGCUAACGCAUUAAGUAGACCGCCUGGGGAGUACGGCCGCAAGGUUAAAACUCAAAUGAAUUGACGGGGCCAGGG
This 571-nucleotide ribosomal RNA is filed under the name Shewanella sp. RNAcentral describes it as "bacterial SSU rRNA". It matches the Rfam family "Bacterial small subunit ribosomal RNA", at positions 361 to 924 of the family's 1533-position model. Lineage: Bacteria; Pseudomonadati; Pseudomonadota; Gammaproteobacteria; Alteromonadales; Shewanellaceae. The record is from RNAcentral.